GUGACCCCAGGUCAGGCGGGACCACCCGCUGAGUUUAAGCAUAUC
This 45-nucleotide ribosomal RNA is filed under the name Perezia ciliaris. RNAcentral's name for it is "25S ribosomal RNA". Lineage: Eukaryota; Viridiplantae; Streptophyta; Magnoliopsida; Asterales; Asteraceae. The record is from RNAcentral.